AAGUCCUUCUCAUCAUUUGCACUUUACUUUUUUUCCUCCUCUUCUAAUUACAUUUACUGAUUGCAUGAUUACACUCAUUUUAGUAAUAAAAUGCACCGUAAAUAAUUACGUUAAUUGCAAUUAAAAUACCGGGAACCGAUACGUUAUGAAGUCCCAAGGGUUUAAAACUAAAGAUUCUGUGACUGUUCGGUUUUUUCAGGUAACCAUUGAAGACCCCUAUUUUGUAGGGUUUUCUCUUUAAAAAUAAAUUUUUUAAAUAUAGGUUUCAUAGAAAUCUCGUGACCACUCAGGAACUUUGAAUUUAUAGCUGACGUGGCAUUUCAGCAGAUACGGCAGAUUUAUAUCAGUCACCCGUCACUCUCUCCCCCUC
RNAcentral lists this long non-coding RNA (370 nucleotides) under Brassica napus (rape). RNAcentral's name for it is "long non-coding RNA (BNAP_LNC003947)". The record is from RNAcentral. Lineage: Eukaryota; Viridiplantae; Streptophyta; Magnoliopsida; Brassicales; Brassicaceae.